Long non-coding RNA from Gadus morhua (Atlantic cod), 1575 nucleotides. The record is from Ensembl. NCBI's taxonomy places the organism in Eukaryota, Metazoa, Chordata, Actinopteri, Gadiformes, Gadidae.
AUGGAAAUGGGUGAAAACACUGUCUCUGGUUGUACUGAGUUGGCUUCGACACCUCUGAUGGAAGACCACGAUUACACAGCCAGCUCUUUCAUCGUGGUCGACCGUGAGAAAUUUGAGAGCAUGUCGAGGCAGAUCGAGGAGCUCACACGGCAAAUCGAAACACUGCACAUGGAGAGAUUUGGAUUGCAACGGUUUUCUACAUCACCUAGUGACAUUCGCUACUAUUCCAGAUUUCCAUCAUAUGAACAUUUGAUGGCCUUUUGGGAUCUAAUUCAAGAGGCAACAAGCAGAAUGGUGAGAGUCACCAGUGGUCAGAAGAACCUCUCCACCAGUACAUCCACUGAGACCCCUAUGAACAGACCAACAAAACUGCUGCCAAUUGACGAGCUCUUCCUCUUCCUCAACUACCUGUCAACCGGCUGUACACAAAGGGAGCUUGGUCACAAGUUCAAUAUCCACAGAGCAACAGCAAGCAGAAUAAUUGUGACGUGGUCCAACUUUUUGUAUACUUUGCUUGGAUCGCGUUAGCAUGACGUGUCACUGCCUGUUACGAACCCUUGCUCGUUAAAGAGGUGCAACAAAAAGGAGGGAGACAACUGAUAAAAUGUUUGAAUACGUUAUCAUUUAUUGAUAAAUCAAGGGAUAGGGGGGAAUUAAAUAAAGAGAAAGGAGAUUGCCCUUCAAUAAACAAAGCAUUCAAAUGAACAUGUACAAUUAACUUAAUCAUUAGUAACAUAAGAUCUUUUCCUCAUUGACCUGUAGCACUCUGCCCUGACCAUCACCUCUCCUGAACCCGGAUCUUUGUCAGACACUGUGGAAAAAUAACAAUUUUAGCAAGUUAGUAAUUAAUAGGAUAGCAUGCAAGUUAGUUGGUAAGAACAAUGACUAGCAACUCUAAUAGGAAAAUAUUGUUGUCCAUCUAAAGUUCGUUUGUUCAUACACAGGCAAUCGCAGUUUGCGAACUUGACAACGAACGAACCAACGUUUGAUACUUUUAGGCUACUGCCUAUAUAACACGCAGGAGUGUCAACAACACAUAUCCUCCGAACAUAACAUCAUAAACUAAACAAGGGCUAAGACAAACAUCUAACGCACGAUUUCGACUUUUAUAAUGUAUAGAGAUAACAUAACAUUGACCAGAUAACAUAACUUUAGCACGUAGCAUGGAUAUCAUGUUGUUGUGACUUACCUUCAAAAUUGUGCAAAUAUUGCGAUAGAUACAGUAUAAACCCCUUUUCUCGUUUGGUUUGGGGUGCGGGUGAAAAUAUGCUGACCAGUCGAUGAACAUCGUCAACUGUUAUCGCCGGCAUAUGUCCAAGACAUCUUGAGAAAUUUGCUUCGGCCAUUGGGCUACCGGAUUCCAGCCGAGUCGUGUUGAUACCGGAAGCUCGACAGCCAAUAGGAAGUACGCUACCGGAAGUAGCAUAUGCUAAUGUGCACGUAGUGAAUAAGGUCUUUUAUGGCUUAAAUUAAAGAGCCUGUAAUGAUCUUUCAUUUUGAACAUAGACCAUUCCCAACCUAUCUGUAUGGAUAGUUUUCUUCUAAAAACAAAACAACCCUCGGAAUCAUCUUGGC